This 253-nucleotide ribosomal RNA is filed under the name uncultured bacterium. Its description in RNAcentral is "partial 16S ribosomal RNA". It matches the Rfam family "Bacterial small subunit ribosomal RNA", at positions 524 to 776 of the family's 1533-position model. The record is from RNAcentral.
UACGUAGGGUGCAAGCGUUGUCCGGAAUUAUUGGGCGUAAAGAGCUCGUAGGCGGUCUGUUGCGUCAGCUGUGAAAACCCGCAGCUCAACUGUGGGCUUGCAGCUGAUACGGGCAGGCUUGAGUUCGGUAGGGGAGACUGGAAUUCCUGGUGUAGCGGUGAAAUGCGCAGAUAUCAGGAGGAACACCGGUGGCGAAGGCGGGUCUCUGGGCCGAUACUGACGCUGAGGAGCGAAAGCGUGGGGAGCGAACAGG